Molecule: ribosomal RNA, 347 nt
Filed under: uncultured bacterium
Lineage: Bacteria
Description: bacterial SSU rRNA
Rfam family: Bacterial small subunit ribosomal RNA
Source: RNAcentral
CCUACGGGAGGCAGCAGUGGGGAAUUUUGGACAAUGGGCGCAAGCCUGAUCCAGCAAUGCCGCGUGAGUGAAGAAGGCCUUCGGGUUGUAAAGCUCUUUUGUCAGGGAAGAAACGGUAGGGGCUAAUAUCCUUUACUAAUGACGGUACCUGAAGAAUAAGCACCGGCUAACUACGUGCCAGCAGCCGCGGUAAUACGUAGGGUGCAAGCGUUAAUCGGAAUUACUGGGCGUAAAGCGUGCGCAGGCGGUUUUUGUAAGUCUGUCGUGAAAGCCCCGGGCUCAACCGGGGAAUUGCGAUGGAGACUGCAAGGCUUGAAUCUGGCCAGGGUAGGGGUAGUACUCCGAGU